AUGCUGGAAACUUCUGCACCGUCCGCAGGUCCAGACCCACCUGGGCCGCCUCCCCCUCAGCAAGGGCUUCUCCCGACUCCAAGGCCAGGAUUCGGCCACCAGAAAGGCCGACGUCACCAAAACUGCCUGACAGAAAAAGCCGCAUACUCCCAACUUCACUGCAGCAGAACAGAACGUCAGAGCAUCAGGUUAGAAACUUGCAGGUCAACCACCUCUGCUGGUCGCCGAGGAGCCGGGCCGCCACCAGCUGGGCCUACGCCUUCAACGCCACCUCCUAGGCCCACUCCUCCCGUCCCAGCCAGGGUCGCUGAAGACCCCUCAAGAGCCUGCAGCAGGCUGGUGCCCCACGGCCCAAACCCAAGACACAUCAUCCACGUGGGUCAAUGGCCUCCUCAUGCAGCUGCCCCACUCCCACUGGGAACUCAGGCAUGCCACUCCUCGGGGGGGUCACCUCCGACCCCGAGGUCAGGACGGCCACAGUCAAAGGGAAGAAAACCAAAGCCCCUCAGGAGCACCAAUCUGUGCAGCUCAAAAAGCCCAGCAGGCAUCCCGGGGCUCCGGGGCCCGCUCCACACCCUUCCGCCUCUGGGCCCCACACAGGGCUCUUCCAAGACAGGCUGGCUCCCAAUCACCAGCCUGGGCUCCAUAAAAGAACCCCUUCUAAAACACACCCUUGUUUUUAGGAAUUGAAGUCAAAAUUCCCGGAGUUACCAUUGCAGUUCAGUGGAUUAAGGACCCAAUGUUAUCCCUGGCCCCACUCAGUGGGUUAAGGAUCCAGCAUUGCCGUGAGCUGUGGUGUAGGUCGCAGACGCAGCUUGGAUCCCGUGUGGCUGUGGCUGUGGUGUAGGCUGGUAGCUGGAGCUCAGGUUAGACCCCUAGCCCGGGAACUUCCAUGUGCUGCAGGUGCAGCCCUUAAAAAAAAAAAAAAAAAAAAAAAAAAAAAAAAAAGAAUCAAAAGUCCCACAACAGGCUGGCGAAAGUAGAAACUUUUGGUGAUAGUUAAAUAGCUUAAAAUCGACAUGUUCAAACAGCAGUAAAGACUGAAAGACAACUCAAUGGAAAGAAAAUAUUAUGAGCUGAAAUAAUUCAAAAAUGUCCAAAAGUAGUCAAAACAGCAAAAUGGAUAAAGGGGUAAAAUGAAAAACCACUACAGUACACAAAGAAAGCUGAAAGAAAAAGUAAUAAUAGAAACAGUCCGAUAUCUGUUCCAAUGUCUAUGUCCCCUUUCCAAGGUUUAUAUUAAAAUGUAGAAAAGCAACACUCUCUGAAAAAUCCAUUAUGUAUUAUCAUUUCCCCUCAAAAACAACCCCCGGAAAAUCUUCCUAUUCACCCUUGAGAAAUGCACUCAAUACUCUCCUCCCCACCCCGCCAAGGGCUGACCGACCUCACAAAACCCAGUCAAAACCUCCAGAGGCGCCCCAAAACUUGAUUUCGGUUUCCGGUUCCCAGUUAAAUCUGAAACAACACAACCAUUUGCACAUUCCUUCCAACCCACCCAAGGACAAAGGACAGCUGCUCAAGCAGGGCCAGGGGGACCUGGGGGACCUGGGAGCCCCUCUCUGUGAGGCAGGGGUCUGGCCAGCCCGCCGAAGAAUGUGGCAAAAAUGGAAUCUCAACCAACCAACCCACGGGCGGCACCCUCACCUUCCACGUACGAGGUACCCAGGGAGGGAGGGUCCAGUGCCCCCGGCACCUUAACCCCAGGCUCCUCGCGGCGCCCUGGCUUCCACGCCCAGCCCUGCCCUCCGCACAGUCUGCAGACGCGGCCAGCCCUGGGCUCCAGAAGCAACGGUCACGGCAGGCCUAUAGCCGAGUCCGAGAAUCGGACAAGGGAACAACUGCUAUUUAAUGAAACAGCAUUGGAUGGUGGCUCCCAAAUGCAGCCGACAGACCAACGCCAACGCCGCUGCACACGUUCGGCCCCUUCUUUCACCGAAAGAGCAAAGCAGCCGGACGGAAGGUCAGGCGGCCAAGAGAGUAGACCCUGACCGGCGACGGCUCGGGAGCCCGGCCGCGUGGCUGCGGCCUGGGCCGAAAUGUCUCCGGCAUCCGGAUGACUGAGAGCAGGUGGGAAACGCCCUUCACUCCAAACCCCGGCCGCAGCCCGUCAGUCUCAAGGUUUCGUCAGCCCUCGGGAGCCCGGCCGCGUGGCUGCGGCCUGGGCCGAAAUGUCUCCGGCAUCCGGAUGACUGAGAGCAGGUGGGAAACGCCCUUCACUCCAAACCCCGGCCGCAGCCCGUCAGUCUCAAGGUUUCGUCAGCCCCCGAAAGCUGAAAGCCUGGGCUCUCCCGGCACUCGGGACGCCUCCUCGCCGGGCCCCGGACCCCGAACAGGCCC
This 2337-nucleotide long non-coding RNA is filed under the name Sus scrofa (pig). RNAcentral's name for it is "lncRNA (ENSSSCG00005041714.1)". The record is from RNAcentral. Lineage: Eukaryota; Metazoa; Chordata; Mammalia; Artiodactyla; Suidae.